RNAcentral lists this unclassified non-coding RNA (182 nucleotides) under Glomus sp. RNAcentral's name for it is "partial contains 5.8S ribosomal RNA and internal transcribed spacer 2". The stretch from base 1 to 71 matches the Rfam family "5.8S ribosomal RNA", at positions 84 to 154 of the family's 154-position model. Lineage: Eukaryota; Fungi; Glomeromycota; Glomeromycetes; Glomerales; Glomeraceae. The record is from RNAcentral.
GUGAAUCAUCAAAUCUUUGAACGCAAAUUGCACUUUCUGGUAUUCCGGAAAGUAUGCCUGUUUGAGGGUCAGUUAAAUAAAAAUCGGUGUUGUGGCGGCCUUUCGUUGUUUCUCGCCGGCAUUGGGGCGUCUUACCUUCGGUUAAGUGACUUAAAAUUUUUGCAGGAUUUUCGAACGUAUUU